UAAUUCUAGAGCUAAUAGAUGGUUUGUCCCAAAYUUUUAUCGGUUUGUUCAUUUAUUAGAUCACAACCGAGCGACUCCGGUCGCUUAUGUUGGUGACUCUUAGUAACUUUKGUAAUCGCAUGGACUUGUUCCGGCGAUACGUUUAUCAAGUUUCUGCCCUAUCAACUUUUGAUGGUUGUGYAUUUGACAACCAUGGUGGUGACGGGUAACGGAGAAUUAGGGUUUGACUCCGGAGAGGGAGCCUGAUAAACGGCUACCACAUCAUAGGAAGG
This 272-nucleotide ribosomal RNA is filed under the name Steinernema sp. 122 CSW-2018. RNAcentral describes it as "partial 18S ribosomal RNA". It matches the Rfam family "Eukaryotic small subunit ribosomal RNA", at positions 154 to 427 of the family's 1831-position model. The record is from RNAcentral. Lineage: Eukaryota; Metazoa; Nematoda; Chromadorea; Rhabditida; Steinernematidae.